RNAcentral lists this unclassified non-coding RNA (285 nucleotides) under uncultured fungus. Its description in RNAcentral is "partial contains small subunit ribosomal RNA, internal transcribed spacer 1, and 5.8S ribosomal RNA". The stretch from base 1 to 73 matches the Rfam family "Eukaryotic small subunit ribosomal RNA", at positions 1759 to 1831 of the family's 1831-position model. Lineage: Eukaryota; Fungi. The record is from RNAcentral.
UCAAACUUGGUCAUUUAGAGGAAGUAAAAGUCGUAACAAGGUUUCCGUAGGUGAACCUGCGGAAGGAUCAUUACUGAAGUUGCUGUGCACUCUUUCAAACUCUCACAAACUUCCUUCUCACCCCCUUGUGCACACUUGGUAGAGGCCUCCCCGAGGGAGAAGACUCUAUGUUUUUGUUUUUUGCUACACACACGAGAUUUUGAAUGUACAUGCUUAUGGCAAUAUCAGAAAGAAACAACUUUCAACAAUGGAUCUCUUGGCUCUCGCAUCGAUGAAGAACGCAGC